CCGAAAGGCGUAGUCGAUGGGAAACAGGUUAAUAUUCCUGUACUUGGUGUUACUGCGAAGGGGGGACGGAGAAGGCUAUGUUAGCCGGGCGACGGUUGUCCCGGUUUAAGCAUGUAGGCUGGUUAUCCAGGCAAAUCCGGAUAAUCAAGGCUGAGGUGUGAUGACGAAGCACUACGGUGCUGAAGUAACAAAUGCCCUGCUUCCAGGAAAAGCCUCUAAGCAUCAGGUAACAUCAAAUCGUACCCCAAACCGACACAGGUGGUCAGGUAGAGAAUACCAAGGCGCUUGAGAG
This 292-nucleotide ribosomal RNA is filed under the name Klebsiella quasipneumoniae subsp. similipneumoniae. RNAcentral's name for it is "partial 23S ribosomal RNA". It matches the Rfam family "Bacterial large subunit ribosomal RNA", at positions 1402 to 1696 of the family's 2925-position model. The record is from RNAcentral. Lineage: Bacteria; Pseudomonadati; Pseudomonadota; Gammaproteobacteria; Enterobacterales; Enterobacteriaceae.